GACAGAGGCCUCAAGCGUUAGGCGGAAUCACUGGGCUUAAAGCGUGUGUAGGCGGAUCGUUAAGUGUCUUGUGAAAUCCCACGGCUCACCCGUGGAACGGCUGGGCAUACUGGCGAUCUUGGGCCAACUAGGGGCAACUGGAACAAGCGGUGGAGCGGUGAAAUGCGUAGAUAUCGCUUGGAACGCCGAAGGUGAAAACAGGUUGCUGGGGUUGUGCCGACGCUGAGACACGAAAGCCAGGGGAGCGAACGGG
RNAcentral lists this ribosomal RNA (253 nucleotides) under uncultured bacterium. Its description in RNAcentral is "partial 16S ribosomal RNA". It matches the Rfam family "Bacterial small subunit ribosomal RNA", at positions 524 to 776 of the family's 1533-position model. The record is from RNAcentral.